UUAUAGGAAACUUGCAGCUACGCAGUAAGAGUUGUUAUGGAAUCUUUUGUACGUCUUGUACCAAGGCUAGAAGAAGGGCCUGGAACUAUUGUAAUAACUCUAGGGUUGAAAGGUUCCAUUGUAUUUAACCAAUCUUCUGUACGCAGAGGUGUAUUGAAAUGUCAGAAUAUGAGAUUAAUGGGAACUGGGGAGAGUCGACUGGAACAGCUUGUAGGUGCCUGCCAAGAAACCGUGAACUUUAAUAAAAGGUAAUUCCGGCAGGGGGAGAUCGCGACCACCGACUCAUAUACCACCUACCCAAAUCGUACCCUAGACCCAUUUCUAGACCUUUCUAAGCUUUACUGCGCAUAAUCGGAUAUAGGAGGAGAGUAUGUAAAUGAUUUACAGGAAAUGUUAUGAUUAUGCAUGAAUAAUUAAUGAAUAUGUAUGAAUAAGUUCUAUAUAUGGAAUCUGAUUUUGGGACCUGGUGUGCGUUGAUCGUGAGAGGACUCGCUCACGCACCCGGCCGUUAAUAAAGAAGUGUCUGCUUAUCUACAUCACAUUGGUGUCGAUAAGUUCUUCAUUCCGAGAUUUCGGUAACAGUUUUGGCGACCCAGAUGGGACCUCGCUGAAGGAGACCGGAGGAGUCGGGGACCUGAUCGGUUCCGGCCGGCACCGAGGAUUUCUCGGGGACACCCAUCGAUCCCCGAUCCGUAAGGCUCUUCGCGACGUUCCCUGGAUUUUUGGGAAAACUUUGGCUGUGAUUUGGAGUGUAGUAAUUUGGAAUAGACCUUUACCCCUGGAAAAUUCAGUGCAUGAUUUCCAACCAGGAGACUAUGUCUAUGUGAAGACUUGGACCUCCGAACCUUUGCAGGAGCACUGGAGAGGACCCUUCCAGAUACUGCUAACCACUUUUACAGCUAUCAAAAUUGCAGAAUCGGAUGCUUGGAUACAUUAUACUCGAGUGAAGAAAGCACCGUGAAGAAAGCAUCUACUCCCUGGAAGAUUGUGAAUCGUGACCCAGAGACUUAAAAAAUUGACUUUGAAACAUGUCUAAUUUUGCAUAUCAGGUUAUGAUUGGUUUUUGGAUUUUUUUUUUGGUUGAUAGUGUUGGUGGGAUCAUGGGCUGACUUGGUGGACAGGAACAAAAGACAAAUAGAAACAGAACAAGUGAUUGACAUUCCCAAACAAAUGGCUGAGGAAAAUUUGAUGGUAGGAUUGAUUAAAGAA
Falco peregrinus (peregrine falcon) is the source of this 1209-nucleotide long non-coding RNA. RefSeq lists it as uncharacterized. The transcript has 2 exons. The record is from RefSeq and is a predicted model, not a curated record. Lineage: Eukaryota; Metazoa; Chordata; Aves; Falconiformes; Falconidae.